This 449-nucleotide long non-coding RNA is filed under the name Cottoperca gobio. RNAcentral describes it as "lncRNA (ENSCGOG00000006012.1)". The record is from RNAcentral. Lineage: Eukaryota; Metazoa; Chordata; Actinopteri; Perciformes; Bovichtidae.
ACAUGUGGGAGUCAUAUACCCCCCAGGGGUGACCAUCGUUUCUCACCAAGUUCACUUCAGCUGCAGACAAAUGGCGCAAUGAUUCAAAGAGGGCACGUUGACACAGCCAGGGACUCACGCGCAAUAACAUGCACGCGCGGCCCGCCCGACACAGUGAGCCUUCACUCUCUGCUCAGGGGUCUUUGAAUCAUGGGAGUUGUUGUCUUCAUCACCAUUGCCAUCAUUGCAGUCCGCUUCUACCGGUCCGGAUUCCUUCAUCGUUCAUCGUUCAGGAGGUUUUUACCAGGAGCCGAAUAAUCCACAGAGGUCUCCUCCUCUCCAAAACAAACAGACCAGUGAGGAUGACAUCCCCGAAUUUGAUGAACCAGCGAAGCUCUCAUUCUGGCUGGUGGCUUCCGAGGGAGACCCCACAUGAACGGGCUUACUGGACGAGGAGGUGCCGCGUCUAA